AGAGUUUGAUCCUGGCUCAGGAUGAACGCUAGCUACAGGCUUAACACAUGCAAGUCGAGGGGAAACGACAUCGAAAGCUUGCUUUUGAUGGGCGUCGACCGGCGCACGGGUGAGUAACGCGUAUCCAACCUGCCCACCACUUGGGGAUAACCUUGCGAAAGUAAGACUAAUACCCAAUGAUAUCUCUAGAAGACAUCUGAAAGAGAUUAAAGAUUUAUCGGUGAUGGAUGGGGAUGCGUCUGAUUAGCUUGUUGGCGGGGUAACGGCCCACCAAGGCAACGAUCAGUAGGGGUUCUGAGAGGAAGGUCCCCCACAUUGGAACUGAGACACGGUCCAAACUCCUACGGGAGGCAGCAGUGAGGAAUAUUGGUCAAUGGACGAGAGUCUGAACCAGCCAAGUAGCGUGAAGGAUGAAGGUCCUACGGAUUGUAAACUUCUUUUAUAAGGGAAUAAACCCUCCCACGUGUGGGAGCUUGUAUGUACCUUAUGAAUAAGCAUCGGCUAACUCCGUGCCAGCAGCCGCGGUAAUACGGAGGAUGCGAGCGUUAUCCGGAUUUAUUGGGUUUAAAGGAAGCGUAGAUGGAUGUUUAAGUCAGUUGUGAAAGUUUGCGGCUCAACCGUAAAAUUGCAGUUGAUACUGGAUAUCUUGAGUGCAGUUGAGGCAGGCGGAAUUCGUGGUGUAGCGGUGAAAUGCUUAGAUAUCACGAAGAACUCCGAUUGCGAAGGCAGCCUGCUAAGCUGCAACUGACAUUGAGGCUCGAAAGUGUGGGUAUCAAACAGGAUUAGAUACCCUGGUAGUCCACACGGUAAACGAUGAAUACUCGCUGUUUGCGAUAUACAGCAAGCGGCCAAGCGAAAGCGUUAAGUAUUCCACCUGGGGAGUACGCCGGCAACGGUGAAACUCAAAUGAAUUGACGGAA
Molecule: ribosomal RNA, 920 nt
Filed under: uncultured bacterium
Lineage: Bacteria
Description: bacterial SSU rRNA
Rfam family: Bacterial small subunit ribosomal RNA
Source: RNAcentral